UACAUUUUGGAAAAAUGAUUUCUAUAUAAUUAAUUUUUAGUUUGAAAAAUUAAUGUUGGUUAAAAAUUAUAGAGUGUUUGGCUGAGUCUAGCGAAAAAGUAAUUUUUCUGAAGUAAAUUUACAAAGCUGUUUAACAAAUUUUUUUCUAUUUGCAAAUAAUGAAUUUCAAUUUAAGAUUUUGAAUUUAAAAUCUUAAAUAGAAUUUUAAUUUUGAUAUUUGAAUUUAAAAUCUAAAUUUAAAAAUUUAAAUUAAAUAAUAAAUAUUUAGAAUUUUUAUUUUGAAAUUAAAAUUAAAAAUUUGAAAGUUAAAUUUAAAAUUUAAAAUCUAAAUUUUAAAAUUAAAAAUUUAAAAAUUUAAAUUAAAUAAUAAAUAUUUAGAAUUUUUAUUUUGAAAUUAAAAUUAAAAAUUUGAAAGUUAAAUUUAAAAUUUAGAACUUAAAAUCUACAUUUAAAUGGCGGAGUUGGAUCUUGAUUCUAGAAUAUAAAUCGGGACGAAGCUAGGAAUUAAGAUUCAAGGAGGCCAAGUUUUAGAUUUGGCAUAAAACAAAAAAUUUGACCUU
This 560-nucleotide long non-coding RNA is filed under the name Ananas comosus (pineapple). RNAcentral describes it as "long non-coding RNA (ACOM_LNC001216)". The record is from RNAcentral. Lineage: Eukaryota; Viridiplantae; Streptophyta; Magnoliopsida; Poales; Bromeliaceae.